Molecule: ribosomal RNA, 300 nt
Filed under: uncultured Geoglobus sp.
Lineage: Archaea; Methanobacteriati; Methanobacteriota; Archaeoglobi; Archaeoglobales; Archaeoglobaceae
Description: partial 16S ribosomal RNA
Rfam family: Bacterial small subunit ribosomal RNA (bases 59-300)
Source: RNAcentral
GAAAACUACGGGGCAGUAGCGGGGGGAAAGGGGGGGUGGGGGGGGUGAUGCGGAGGUGCUGGGGGUAAGGGGGGCGGAGGGGGGGGGGGAAGGUGGGGGUGAAAGCUCGUGGCUGAACUGGGGGGGGACGCUCAAGACUGCUCGGCUGGAGGGCGAGAGAGGGGUGCAGAAUGCCCGGUGUAGGGGUGGAAUGCGUAGAUAUCGGGAGGAAUACCAGUGGCGAAAGCGGCGCCCUGGCUCGCACCUGACACUGAGGCGCGAAAGCGUGGGGAGCGAACGGGAUUAGAUACCCUUGUAGUC